Molecule: long non-coding RNA, 280 nt
Organism: Calidris pugnax (ruff)
Lineage: Eukaryota; Metazoa; Chordata; Aves; Charadriiformes; Scolopacidae
Exons: 3
Source: RefSeq, a predicted model, not a curated record
AUUCAUUAAGCCGGUGAUUAUCUGCGAGCACCCUCAACUGACGCCUCACCUACCCACCUAACCUUUGGGACUUCAUCAACAAGCUCGCACAGGAGUGCCAGACUGGAUGCAGUUAUGUUAAUCAUCUUGGAACCACGUUCCCGUGUCCUCAGAGGAGGUUGUGCCUGUCGGUGGGACUGCUUUGGAAGGUGAAACAGAAGUUGGAAGAGAACCUGGUGACAUGUGCAGAAGGUCAAAGCCAACACCUCUGUCUGCAUCAUGAAUGGAGCUGAAAACGUAG